GGAGUUAGCCGGUGCUUCUUCUGUGAGUGAUGUCCUUCCUGCCGGCUAUUAACCCGCAGGCCUUCUUCCUCACUGAAAGUGCUUUACAACCCGAAGGCCUUCUUCACACACGCGGCAUGGCUGUAUCAGGGUUGCCCCCAUUGUCCAAUAUUCCCCACUGCUGCCUCCCGUAGGAGUCUGGGCCGUGUCUCAGUCCCAGUGUGGCUGAUCAUCCUCUCAGACCAGCUACGGAUCGUCGCCUUGGUGAGCCGUUACCUCACCAACCAGCUAAUCCGACAUAGGCUCAUCCGAUAGCGCGAGGCCCGAAGGUCCCCCGCUUUCCCCCGUAGGGCCGUAUGCGGUAUUAGCCUGGGUUUCCCCAGGUUAUCCCCCACUACCGGGCAGAUUCCUAUGCAUUACUCACCCGUCCGCCGCUCGCCACCAGGGAGCAAGCUCCCCGUGCUGCCGCUCGACUUGCAUGUGUUAGGCCUGCCGCCAGCGUUCAAUCUGAGCCAGAAUCAAACUCUGA
RNAcentral lists this ribosomal RNA (508 nucleotides) under uncultured bacterium. RNAcentral describes it as "partial 16S ribosomal RNA". The record is from RNAcentral.